UCAAAAAUAAAAUCGCCUCUCUAGCUCUUUGAUCUAGCACCGCCGCUCACCGUCAUUUUGUAUGUUGCUCCUCCGUUCAACGUCGGUUUCCCUCUCCAAUCUCUCCAUAAGCCACUCCCCACCUUUCUCUACCACUUUAUCCUCAUACCCUGAAUAGAAAAUGUUUCCCUAAAUUGAAACCUAGGGUUUUCAUCUUGCAAUUAGACAACCACCAUUCAAAUAAUUUAUUUUACCUUCUCUCUAUGCCACUGUCGUCGCCUCCUUUUAUUAAUGUUCCGCUCAAAGAUUGCGGAAAAAAGUUCGAUUGUAGAAUCUGUCUUCGCAAAAUCGUAGUCAAAGUUCAACAAUGGUUGGAAGAGAAACAAUUUUUCAAAUCUGAACCUGGUGAUAAACCACCCGAACCAAGUGAUUUUUUUUUUAUGGAAAAGUGUUGCUGUUGUCGAGAGUGUUGGUGAUGAAAAUGGUGCUCUGGCUAAAUUUAAGGGAAAGAAAUUUAAGGUUGCAGCAAAAUCAAGUGAACAGGCUUAUCAAUGGGAGAUUUUGAGGAAUGUUGGGCUAUUUGUUGCUGAGAUUUGGGAGUUUCAAUAUCCUUAUAAGUGGUUAUCUUAUUUUCCACCGUUGGCUUUGGAGAUCUUAUGGCUUUUGGUUUAGGUUGUGAUUGGUGAAGAUCGUUCAUUGCAACCCAAAGAGUAUUGAAACUUCAAAAUAGUAUUUCAUUAAACUUUGCACAAACUAUAUAAGUUUGGGUGGGAUAUUUUGUCUCCAAACAUCAACAUACUUUGGUUAAUGUAAGUUUGGUUCAGUUACUUUUUUUUAAAACAAUUGUUGCAUGGACCAACUAAUGUAUUGUUACACAUUAUUUUUUAGAAUUAUAUUUAUAGAUUUCAUUUAUCAGCCCGGUGGAUCUAGAUAGGUUGAUACAUCAGAUGAAUCUAUAGAUCUAGCAGGAGCUCCUGGAGCUAGAAGAAUGAAUUUCAAAUUAGUUGGUACAACAGAUGGAUUUGUAGUUUCAGCAGUAUCUCAUAAAGUUAGAACAAUGGAUUUCAGAUCAAUGCUCAAUCAUUGUAGUUGGGGCAAAAAUAAGACUAUUGGGAUUCAAUGACAAUUGAUGCUUUCAAGUACUAAGGAGAAAAUUGUACAAGUUUAUAUCUCUUAACCAGCAAGUCAAUAUGGUGUUGAGAGGCUUUUUCAGAAAAUACGGAAAGAUUGAAAGAGUGGACUUGAAUUCUGAUAAAUUAGAAGUUGAUUUUGUGCAUUGUUGGAAAGUCAAUAAUGGCCAUCGAGGAGUCACGUUUGGCUGGAGAGAAUUAGUUUUCUUAGGGAGCA
Vicia villosa (hairy vetch) is the source of this 1326-nucleotide long non-coding RNA. RefSeq lists it as uncharacterized. The record is from RefSeq and is a predicted model, not a curated record. The transcript is spliced from 5 exons. NCBI's taxonomy places the organism in Eukaryota, Viridiplantae, Streptophyta, Magnoliopsida, Fabales, Fabaceae.